GACGAACGCUGGCGGCGUGCCUAAUACAUGCAAGUAGAACGCUGAAGAGAGGAGCUUGCUCUUCUUGGAUGAGUUGCGAACGGGUGAGUAACGCGUAGGUAACCUGCCUUGUAGCGGGGGAUAACUAUUGGAAACGAUAGCUAAUACCGCAUAACAAUGGAUGACACAUGUCAUUUAUUUGAAAGGGGCAAUUGCUCCACUACAAGAUGGACCUGCGUUGUAUUAGCUAGUAGGUGAGGUAACGGCUCACCUAGGCGACGAUACAUAGCCGACCUGAGAGGGUGAUCGGCCACACUGGGACUGAGACACGGCCCAGACUCCUACGGGAGGCAGCAGUAGGGAAUCUUCGGCAAUGGGGGCAACCCUGGACCGAGCAACGCCGCGUGAGUGAAGAAGGUUUUCGGGAUCGUAAAGCUCUGUUGUAAGUCAAGAACGAGUGUGAGAGUGGAAAGUUCACACUGUGACGGUAGCUUACCAGAAAGGGACGGCUAUGUACGUGCCAGCAGCCGCGGUAAUACGUAGGUCCCGAGCGUUGUCCGGGAUUUAUUGGGGCGUAAAGCGAGCGCAGGCGGUUUGAUAAGUCUGAAGUUAAAGGCUGUGGCUCAACCAUAGUUCGCUUUGGAAACUGUCAAACUUGAGUGCAGAAGGGGGAGAGUGGGAUUCCAUGUGUAGGCGAUGAAAUGCGUAGAUAUAUGGGAGGAACACCGGGGGGCGAAAGCGCUCCUCU
Molecule: ribosomal RNA, 727 nt
Filed under: uncultured Streptococcus sp.
Lineage: Bacteria; Bacillati; Bacillota; Bacilli; Lactobacillales; Streptococcaceae
Description: bacterial SSU rRNA
Rfam family: Bacterial small subunit ribosomal RNA
Source: RNAcentral